Molecule: ribosomal RNA, 2261 nt
Filed under: Staphylococcus aureus
Lineage: Bacteria; Bacillati; Bacillota; Bacilli; Caryophanales; Staphylococcaceae
Description: bacterial LSU rRNA
Rfam family: Bacterial large subunit ribosomal RNA
Source: RNAcentral
AGAUUAAGUUAUUAAGGGCGCACGGUGGAUGCCUUGGCACUAGAAGCCGAUGAAGGACGUUACUAACGACGAUAUGCUUUGGGGAGCUGUAAGUAAGCUUUGAUCCAGAGAUUUCCGAAUGGGGAAACCCAGCAUGAGUUAUGUCAUGUUAUCGAUAUGUGAAUACAUAGCAUAUCAGAAGGCACACCCGGAGAACUGAAACAUCUUAGUACCCGGAGGAAGAGAAAGAAAAUUCGAUUCCCUUAGUAGCGGCGAGCGAAACGGGAAGAGCCCAAACCAACAAGCUUGCUUGUUGGGGUUGUAGGACACUCUAUACGGAGUUACAAAGGACGACAUUAGACGAAUCAUCUGGAAAGAUGAAUCAAAGAAGGUAAUAAUCCUGUAGUCGAAAAUGUUGUCUCUCUUGAGUGGAUCCUGAGUACGACGGAGCACGUGAAAUUCCGUCGGAAUCUGGGAGGACCAUCUCCUAAGGCUAAAUACUCUCUAGUGACCGAUAGUGAACCAGUACCGUGAGGGAAAGGUGAAAAGCACCCCGGAAGGGGAGUGAAAUAGAACCUGAAACCGUGUGCUUACAAGUAGUCAGAGCCCGUUAAUGGGUGAUGGCGUGCCUUUUGUAGAAUGAACCGGCGAGUUACGAUUUGAUGCAAGGUUAAGCAGUAAAUGUGGAGCCGUAGCGAAAGCGAGUCUGAAUAGGGCGUUUAGUAUUUGGUCGUAGACCCGAAACCAGGUGAUCUACCCUUGGUCAGGUUGAAGUUCAGGUAACACUGAAUGGAGGACCGAACCGACUUACGUUGAAAAGUGAGCGGAUGAACUGAGGGUAGCGGAGAAAUUCCAAUCGAACCUGGAGAUAGCUGGUUCUCUCCGAAAUAGCUUUAGGGCUAGCCUCAAGUGAUGAUUAUUGGAGGUAGAGCACUGUUUGGACGAGGGGCCCCUCUCGGGUUACCGAAUUCAGACAAACUCCGAAUGCCAAUUAAUUUAACUUGGGAGUCAGAACAUGGGUGAUAAGGUCCGUGUUCGAAAGGGAAACAGCCCAGACCACCAGCUAAGGUCCCAAAAUAUAUGUUAAGUGGAAAAGGAUGUGGCGUUGCCCAGACAACUAGGAUGUUGGCUUAGAAGCAGCCAUCAUUUAAAGAGUGCGUAAUAGCUCACUAGUCGAGUGACACUGCGCCGAAAAUGUACCGGGGCUAAACAUAUUACCGAAGCUGUGGAUUGUCCUUUGGACAAUGGUAGGAGAGCGUUCUAAGGGCGUUGAAGCAUGAUCGUAAGGACAUGUGGAGCGCUUAGAAGUGAGAAUGCCGGUGUGAGUAGCGAAAGACGGGUGAGAAUCCCGUCCACCGAUUGACUAAGGUUUCCAGAGGAAGGCUCGUCCGCUCUGGGUUAGUCGGGUCCUAAGCUGAGGCCGACAGGCGUAGGCGAUGGAUAACAGGUUGAUAUUCCUGUACCACCUAUAAUCGUUUUAAUCGAUGGGGGGACGCAGUAGGAUAGGCGAAGCGUGCGAUUGGAUUGCACGUCUAAGCAGUAAGGCUGAGUAUUAGGCAAAUCCGGUACUCGUUAAGGCUGAGCUGUGAUGGGGAGAAGACAUUGAGUCUUCGAGUCGUUGAUUUCACACUGCCGAGAAAAGCCUCUAGAUAGAAAAUAGGUGCCCGUACCGCAAACCGACACAGGUAGUCAAGAUGAGAAUUCUAAGGUGAGCGAGCGAACUCUCGUUAAGGAACUCGGCAAAAUGACCCCGUAACUUCGGGAGAAGGGGUGCUCUUUAGGGUUAACGCCCAGAAGAGCCGCAGUGAAUAGGCCCAAGCGACUGUUUAUCAAAAACACAGGUCUCUGCUAAACCGUAAGGUGAUGUAUAGGGGCUGACGCCUGCCCGGUGCUGGAAGGUUAAGAGGAGUGGUUAGCUUCUGCGAAGCUACGAAUCGAAGCCCCAGUAAACGGCGGCCGUAACUAUAACGGUCCUAAGGUAGCGAAAUUCCUUGUCGGGUAAGUUCCGACCCGCACGAAAGGCGUAACGAUUUGGGCACUGUCUCAACGAGAGACUCGGUGAAAUCAUAGUACCUGUGAAGAUGCAGGUUACCCGCGACAGGACGGAAAGACCCCGUGGAGCUUUACUGUAGCCUGAUAUUGAAAUUCGGCACAGCUUGUACAGGAUAGGUAGGAGCCUUUGAAACGUGAGCGCUAGCUUACGUGGAGGCGCUGGUGGGAUACUACCCUAGCUGUGUUGGCUUUCUAACCCGCACCACUUAUCGUGGUGGGAGACAGUGUCA